RNAcentral lists this long non-coding RNA (223 nucleotides) under Mytilus galloprovincialis (Mediterranean mussel). The record is from RNAcentral. Lineage: Eukaryota; Metazoa; Mollusca; Bivalvia; Mytilida; Mytilidae.
CCAUCAACUUAUAUAUGGGAUGAAACUUCACCUCAAGAAUUUCAAACUGCCUUAUCAUCAAAUAAAAUACAAAAUAAAAUAAAAGAAGUUAAAGAUAAUGUUUAUAAUAAUAUGGAUAAUUUUGUUUCUGAUUUAAAUUCCAUCAUAACAGAAGCAGCUGACAUCUCGCUUAAACUAAAACGCACAAAAAAGAAAAACCCAAAACAUUUAAAUAAUAUAAGAC